CACACACACACACACACUCUCUCUCUCUCCUUCCCUCCCUUCCUCCGCAAUGUGGAAUCCCCACCCCCGACUGGGUAAGUACCUUCUGUACAUUUAAGUGUUUGCAGACCUUGCCAUUCUUUUAAAAAGUACCUGUACAAUUAUGCACAGUUCAGGUAACGUAACAUUAUACAAGGUAAGCCUUUUUUUCUGUUCAAGAUCCUAGUCGGUUAAGUAGAACUGGGGUUUGAAAUCAGAGAAAAGGAAAAGGUGAAAAGCAGCAUGCAAAACUGAGAAACUAAAAAUUGUGAUAGUGAUUUUAUUAAUGAAAAUAAACUUUAUUUAAUACGGGGCAAUCCUGAGGUAGUUAUGAGUAUUUCACAUAACGGAGAAAAGUCACAGUAGUGUCAAAUCCCAGACUCCCAGGAAAGUAACUGUGUAACACUGUUAAUAUCACAAUUUGAGAAAUUGUCUACUUUGUUCCGAAAAGUUUUAUUUUUCCUUAAAAAAAAAAAAAAGACAAAACAGAACCAAAAAAGGAACAAACAGAAACCACUGUGAGCUGGCGACUGCGACGACAGGCCAAUAAGACACCCAGGCUUUCCGGGUCGUGCUUGGCUUUGGGAUGAAUGUCCGCGAAGACAGCCCUGGAACCACCCAUCACGUCCCACACCCAGAGCCCAAGAAAGCGGCAGGAGCCGCGGGGUCCGGGCCCCUCUGCAGACGUGGAGAGGCCCUCGGGGCUGCCCCUCCGGGCGAAGGAUCACAGGAAAGGCAGUGCGGUCGUAACCUGGCAGAAUCUCAAGAUGUAAAAUACAGGAAAAGCAGAAGCCCCAAAGAGAAAACAGAACAAAGGCUGAGCUGUCUUUCUGCAAGCCCUGGGAUCCUUUCACCCUUCCCCACCCCUCAAAGGCAUCUCUGAAGUCUUCCUAGGCUUGGAGGGACCCAUUUUGAAAACCCUUAAAUCCAGCCCCUCAUUCGGCAGAUGAGGAAAUUAAACCCUGAGAAGCUGAGACCUACCCAAGUUUGCACAGUGAGCUUGCGAGAGAACCAACAGCGGGACGGACGCCUGUGGCUUCUCAGCUCAGCAUUUUCUCCCACCACCAGGACUAUUCAGAUGUGAUUAGUUUUUCCAAAAUAACCCAUUGGUUAAAUAGAUGAGGGAGAACCUUGAUAAAGGGCUCAAAUUGGCAGAGGUCAACUCCCUAAAAAAUUUACCUUCUCAAUCAAACGGUCAGGUUGAUCAGAUGUCCCUCCUUUGCUCACCUGUCCUAUCAUGUUCCAUGAUGCACCGAAAUUAUCUGUUUAUAGUAGAGAUCAAUAAAUUGGCCUGCACAGUGUAUCCCA
This 1326-nucleotide long non-coding RNA is filed under the name Ursus maritimus (polar bear). RNAcentral describes it as "lncRNA (ENSUMAG00000005340.1)". Lineage: Eukaryota; Metazoa; Chordata; Mammalia; Carnivora; Ursidae. The record is from RNAcentral.